This 1640-nucleotide long non-coding RNA is filed under the name Equus asinus (donkey). RNAcentral describes it as "lncRNA (ENSEASG00005038004.1)". Lineage: Eukaryota; Metazoa; Chordata; Mammalia; Perissodactyla; Equidae. The record is from RNAcentral.
GCAGUCACCUGGGCUUCACAACCACCUGGCUUGGUGGGCCUGCGCUGGUCCCAGCUCCCUGUCUGUAGAGUGGGGAUGGCAGCACCACCUCCUGGGUGUCCCUGAGAUGACAAGUGUAAAGAGGCCAGCAGUGGGCCUGGCACAUGCAGGGCAUGCAGGAGAGGUUCGCAGUCACCUUCUUCUUCCACCCCACCCUCACUCCACACAUCACACUCUCCUCCCUUCCUCCUCUGUCCCCUGGUCUGACUUCCUGUCCUUUCACUUGACCAUCAGCUCUGGCCUCACAUCCAGGGCUUCACCUUGUGACCCCGAGUCCCUGCUGCCCGGGCUUCCCUCUGUCCACUCCAGAGCCCCUGGAAUGUGCCCGUGUAGUCUUUUCCUUUUAUUCACAUAGAACGUAUGGGUCCUCAGCUCGCUUACAGACUAUCUCGCAAGGACCAAGAGCUGGGUGGUAGGUGCUGUCUGUGACAUUUUGGUGAAUGGCCAACAUUUCUGAGGAAUGAAUUGGACGCAGACUCAGCUCUUGAGGUAUUCCCUGUCCCACGGCUGAAGGACCAAACAGGUAACUGGACACCUCCAGUUACUCCUUCAGCAAGUGGUUUUUGACCUACUGUGUGCCAGAUGAUCAAGACAGAUGCAGCUUCUGGUGUUGCAUGAAGGCCACUACAGAACCGUGUAAGUGAGAUCACUGGGCUUCUCAUCCAGCCCUGGGGGGUGGGGUGGCCCAGGGCUGACUUGUCCAGAGAAGUGACAGGUGAGGCCAUGAGGCGGAGUUGUGAGCACUGGGGUGAGAGCAGCAAGGGGUGUCGCAGGCCUGGGGAGGGGAGAAAGCAGAACUCUCAGCAGUGCAGAUGGACGCAGGCUUGCUGCAGAGGACGGGGUGCUGAAAGGUGAAGCUGAAAGGCCGUGGCAGCUCCUCCCGGAAGCCAUGGUCUGGGUCAGUGGUUCUCAAGGUAUGCUCCCUGGACCAGCAACACCAGCACCUGCUGGAAAUUUGUUAGAAAUGCAAACUCUCAGGCCCCACCCUACACCUACUGAAGCAAACGCUGGGAGCAGUGCCCAGCACCCUGCAUUUUAACAAGCCCUCCACGUGGUUCUGGUGCUCACUCCAGGUUGAGGGGCACCCAUCUAAACCAUGUCCAAGAGCUGGCUGUCUCCUGAAGUGGUGGGGAGUCACUGCAGGGUUCAGGCAGGAGAGGGCCUGGGGGAAAUGGGCACUGCGGAGCAUGGACAGAUGAGCAGGAGCACAGCACAGGAGAGAGCACACUGGCAAGCAUGCUGACAGGGGCCCAGGUGAGGGACGACAGUGGCCCAGCCAAGGCAGUGUGGCACGGGGACGAAAAGAAGUGGACAGAUGAAGGCACACUGCCCUGAAGGGGAAGAAUGCUCACCUAGUUCGUAGGAUGAUUGCAAGAACUGUGUGGUGUCCAGCCCUUGGGCAGGGAGCACCCUGGAGACAGACACUCAUUGGUGCAUCCCCAGCUCCAAAGCCACUGUCGUCAGCGCUGAUGUUUGGUGGGACAUCUCCAAGCCCUUUGCCUGGAUUAGCAGUGACCUUCAGCACAGUAACUGAAGGGGAAACUAAAGCAACAUGGAGGUGAAGAAACUCGCCCCCAGGGUCUCACUGUCAUCCCCCUGUG